This 479-nucleotide ribosomal RNA is filed under the name uncultured archaeon. Its description in RNAcentral is "bacterial SSU rRNA". It matches the Rfam family "Archaeal small subunit ribosomal RNA", at positions 401 to 879 of the family's 1478-position model. The record is from RNAcentral.
UCCGGGCUGUCCAUCAGUGUAAAUAACUGGUGAAGAAAGGGCCGGGCAAGACCGGUGCCAGCCGCCGCGGUAAUACCGGCGGCUCGAGUGGUGGCCGCUAUUACUGGGCUUAAAGCGUUCGUAGCUGGGCUGUUAAGUCCCCUGGGAAAUCCACCGGCUCAACCGAUGGGCGUUCAGGGGAUACUGGCAGCCUAGGGACCGGGAGAGGUGAGGGGUACUCCAGGGGUAGGAGUGAAAUCCUGUAAUCCUUGGGGGACCACCUGUGGCGAAGGCGUCUCACUAGAACGGCUCCGACAGUGAGGAACGAAAGCUGGGGGAGCAAACCGGAUUAGAUACCCGGGUAGUCCCAGCUGUAAACGAUGCGCGUUAGGUGUAUCGGUGACCACGAGUCACCGAGGUGCCGAAGAGAAAUCGUGAAACGUGCCGCCUGGGAAGUACGGUCGCAAGGCUGAAACUUAAAGGAAUUGGCGGGGGAGCAC